AUAUCAAUAAGCGGAGGAAAAGAAACUAACAAGGAUUCCCCUAGUAACUGCGAGUGAAGCGGGAAAAGCUCAAAUUUAAAAUCCCUCGGGAAUUGUAAUCUAGAGAAGUGUUUUCGGUCGUUGCCUCGGACAAGUCCUUUGGAACAAGGCGUCAUAGAGGGUGAGAAUCCCGUCCUUGCCGAGCUACCAACGUCUAUGUGAUACACUCUCGAAGAGUCGAGUUGUUUGGGAAUGCAGCUCAAAACGGGUGGUAAACUCCAUCUAAAGCUAAAUAUUGGCGAGAGACCGAU
This 290-nucleotide ribosomal RNA is filed under the name uncultured Dacrymycetes. RNAcentral describes it as "partial 28S ribosomal RNA". It matches the Rfam family "Eukaryotic large subunit ribosomal RNA", at positions 40 to 338 of the family's 3401-position model. The record is from RNAcentral. Lineage: Eukaryota; Fungi; Basidiomycota; Dacrymycetes.